CCUACGGGAGGCAGCAGUGAGGAAUAUUGGUCAAUGGACGAGAGUCUGAACCAGCCAAGUAGCGUGAAGGAUGACUGCCCUAUGGGUUGUAAACUUCUUUUAUAAAGGAAUAAAACGUGGCACGUGUGCCUUUUUGCAUGUACUUUAUGAAUAAGGAUCGGCUAACUCCGUGCCAGCAGCCGCGGUAAUACGGAGGAUCCGAGCGUUAUCCGGAUUUAUUGGGUUUAAAGGGAGCGUAGAUGGGUUGUUAAGUCAGUUGUGAAAGUUUGCGGCUCAACCGUAAAAUUGCAAUUGAUACUGGCAGGCUGGAGUACAGUUGAGGUAGGCAGAAUUCGUGGUGUAGCGGUGAAAUGCUUAGAUAUCACGAAGAACCCCGAUGGCGAAGGCAGCUUACUAAACUGUGACUGACAUUGAUGCUCGAAAGUGUGGGUAUCAAACAGGAUUAGAUACCCGGGUAGUC
This 460-nucleotide ribosomal RNA is filed under the name uncultured bacterium. RNAcentral describes it as "partial 16S ribosomal RNA". It matches the Rfam family "Bacterial small subunit ribosomal RNA", at positions 338 to 795 of the family's 1533-position model. The record is from RNAcentral.